CAGUAGCCGCGGGAAUACGGAGGGGGCUAGCGUUGUUCGGAAUUACUGGGCGUAAAGCGCACGUAGGCGGCUUGGUAAGUUAGAGGUGAAAGCCCGGAGCUCAACUCCGGAAUUGCCUUUAAGACUGCCGAGCUAGCAGGUGAGAGAGGUAAGUGGAAUUCCGAGUGUAGAGGUGAAAUUCGUAGAUAUUCGGAAGAACACCAGUGGCGAAGGCGGCUCACUGGACUGGUAUUGACGCUGAGGUGCGAAAGCGUGGGGAGCAAACAGGAUUAGAGACCCCUGUAGUCCCUGUCUCUUAUAC
This 301-nucleotide ribosomal RNA is filed under the name uncultured bacterium. RNAcentral's name for it is "partial 16S ribosomal RNA". It matches the Rfam family "Bacterial small subunit ribosomal RNA", at positions 509 to 807 of the family's 1533-position model. The record is from RNAcentral.